AGCAGCCGCGGUAAUUCCAGCUCCAAUAGCGUAUAUUAAAGUUGUUGCAGUUAAAAAGCUCGUAGUUGAAUUUCGGGAUUAAUAUGCUGGUCGUGCCAUUGGUACGUACUAGUAUUAUUGAUUUCUCCCUUCUGAUGAAUCAUGAUGUCAUUAAUUUGAUGUCAUGGGGAAUCAGGACUGUUACUUUGAAAAAUUAGAGUGUUUAAAGCAGGCUCGCGCUUGAAUACAUUAGCAUGGAAUAAUGAAAUAGGACGUUUGAUUCUAUUUUGUUGGUUUCUAGGAUUGACGUAAUGAUUAAUAGGGAUAGUUGGGGGCAUUAGUAUUCAAUUGUCAGAGGUGAAAUUCUUGGAUUUAUCGAAGACUAACUACUGCGAAAGCAUUUGCCAAGGAUGUUUUCAUUAAUCAAGAACGAAAGUUAGGGAUCGAAGACGAUCAGAUACCGUCGUAGUCUUAACCAUAAACUAUGCCGACUAGGGAUCGGAUGAUGUUAAUU
Molecule: ribosomal RNA, 493 nt
Filed under: uncultured Glomus
Lineage: Eukaryota; Fungi; Glomeromycota; Glomeromycetes; Glomerales; Glomeraceae
Description: SSU rRNA
Rfam family: Eukaryotic small subunit ribosomal RNA
Source: RNAcentral